AUUGAACGCUGGCGGCAGGCUUAACACAUGCAAGUCGAACGAGUGGCGGACGGGUGAGUAAUGCUUGGGAAUCUAGCUUAUGGAGGGGGAUAACUACGGGAAACUGUAGCUAAUACCGCGUAACUAAGGAUGAGCCCAAGUGGGAUUAGGUAGUUGGUGCGGUAAAGGGUCACCAAGCCGACGAACUCUAGCUGGACUGAGAGGCUGACUAGCCACCCUGGGACUGAGACACGGCCCGGACUCCUACGGGAGGCAGCAGUGGGGAAUAUUGGGCAAUGGGGGCAACCUGACGCAGCCGUGCCGCAUGAAUGAAGAAGGCCUUCGGGUUGUGAAGUUCUUACGGUAGCGAGGCGUUAACUACAGAAGAAGCACCGGCUAACUCCGUGCCAGCAGCCGCGGUAAUUC
Molecule: ribosomal RNA, 405 nt
Filed under: uncultured bacterium
Lineage: Bacteria
Description: partial 16S ribosomal RNA
Rfam family: Bacterial small subunit ribosomal RNA
Source: RNAcentral